AAUGAAUUGACGGGGGCCCGCACAAGCGGUGGAGCAUGUGGUUUAAUUCGAUGCAACGCGAAGAACCUUACUACUCUUGACAUCCAGAGAACUUUCCAGUGAUGGAUUGGUGCCUUCGGGAACUCUGAGACAGGUGCUGCAUGGCUGUCGUCAGCUCGUGUUGUGGAAUGUUGGGUUAAGUCCCGCAACGAGCGCAACCCUUAUCCUUGUUUGCCAGCGAGUAAUGUCGGGGACUCCGGGGAGACUGCCGGUGAUAAACCGGGGGAAGGUGGGGACGACGUCCAGUCAUCAUGGCACUUACGAGUUGGGCGAGAGCGGUGGUACAUUGGCGCCGGCAGCGGGGAGGACACUUGGGGACGUAAGCGAAUCCUAAAACAUGCGU
This 382-nucleotide ribosomal RNA is filed under the name Vibrio parahaemolyticus. RNAcentral's name for it is "bacterial SSU rRNA". It matches the Rfam family "Bacterial small subunit ribosomal RNA", at positions 904 to 1286 of the family's 1533-position model. Lineage: Bacteria; Pseudomonadati; Pseudomonadota; Gammaproteobacteria; Vibrionales; Vibrionaceae. The record is from RNAcentral.